CCUAAUACAUGCAAGUCGAACGCUUCUUUUUCCACCGGAGCUUGCUCCACCGGAAAAAGAGGAGUGGCGAACGGGUGAGUAACACGUGGGUAACCUGCCCAUCAGAAGGGGAUAACACUUGGAAACAGGUGCUAAUACCGUAUAACAAUCAAAACCGCAUGGUUUUGAUUUGAAAGGCGCUUUCGGGUGUCGCUGAUGGAUGGACCCGCGGUGCAUUAGCUAGUUGGUGAGGUAACGGCUCACCAAGGCCACGAUGCAUAGCCGACCUGAGAGGGUGAUCGGCCACAUUGGGACUGAGACACGGCCCAAACUCCUACGGGAGGCAGCAGUAGGGAAUCUUCGGCAAUGGACGAAAGUCUGACCGAGCAACGCCGCGUGAGUGAAGAAGGUUUUCGGAUCGUAAAACUCUGUUGUUAGAGAAGAACAAGGAUGAGAGUAACUGUUCAUCCCUUGACGGUAUCUAACCAGAAAGCCACGGCUAACUACGUGCCAGCAGCCGCGGUAAUACGUAGGUGGCAAGCGUUGUCCGGAUUUAUUGGGCGUAAAGCGAGCGCAGGCGGUUUCUUAAGUCUGAUGUGAAAGCCCCCGGCUCAACCGGGGAGGGUCAUUGGAAACUGGGAGACUUGAGUGCAGAAGAGGAGAGUGGAAUUCCAUGUGUAGCGGUGAAAUGCGUAGAUAUAUGGAGGAACACCAGUGGCGAAGGCGGCUCUCUGGUCUGUAACUGACGCUGAGGCUCGAAAGCGUGGGGAGCAAACAGGAUUAGAUACCCUGGUAGUCCACGCCGUAAACGAUGAGUGCUAAGUGUUGGGAGGGUUUCCGCCCCUUCAGUGCUGGCAGCUAAACGCAUUUAAGCACUCCCGCCUGGGGGAGUACGACCGCCAAGGUUUGAAACUUC
This 895-nucleotide ribosomal RNA is filed under the name Enterococcus faecium. Its description in RNAcentral is "bacterial SSU rRNA". It matches the Rfam family "Bacterial small subunit ribosomal RNA", at positions 47 to 903 of the family's 1533-position model. The record is from RNAcentral. Lineage: Bacteria; Bacillati; Bacillota; Bacilli; Lactobacillales; Enterococcaceae.